This is an RNA transcript of Amborella trichopoda, 886 nucleotides long. It is a transcript of the gene named (R)-mandelonitrile lyase-like, with no coding region annotated. The record is from RefSeq and is a predicted model, not a curated record. Lineage: Eukaryota; Viridiplantae; Streptophyta; Magnoliopsida; Amborellales; Amborellaceae.
AUGGUGUAUACAGAUCUCCAAGGGCGACGCCACCACGUCAUGCUCCGGCCGCGUGGUGAGGUCAUCCUCUCAGUCGGUGCCAUCGGCAGCCCCCAACUGUUGAUGUUGAGCGGCAUCGGCCCAAACCACAGCCUCAUCAGAUGGGGCAUCCCGGUCGCUCACCACCUCCCGGCCGAUUGCAACGCCAUGCGCGACAACCCCCGGAAUGCUCUCUCCUUCGUCUCUCCUAUUCGCCUCCCACUCUCCCUCAUCCAGGUCGUUGUCAUCACCACCAAUGUCUUUCUAGAAGCCGCCUCCAACUUCCUCCCCUUCACCCCCCGCUCCUGCUCCUCAUUUCUUGCUCCUCGGUAUUCCUCUAUCCCACUCAACAUCGCUUCCGUUAUGGCGAAAAUUUCCGGCCCCCUGUCGAGCGGUUCCUUACGCCUGGCCUCCUCAAAUGUCUGCGACAAUCCAUUGGUGGGGUUCAAUUACUUUGAGGAGGGGUUGGAUUUGCAGAGGUACGUGGAAGGGGUGAGGUUGGUGGCUAGGGUUUUCAGGACGAGUGCAAUGGGCCAGAUCAAAUUCCCCGGGCAGCGUUUCAAGGAGAGGGAGUUUUGGUACUUGGACGACGUGCGGUUGCCGGCCAAUGUCAGCAACGACGAUGCGGUCAGUGAGUUCUACCGAAAAACGGUGUCGACGAUAUGGCAUUACCAUGGGGGUUGCGUUAUGGAGGAGGUGGUGGACGCUCAGUGGGGUGCAGGCCAUCAAGGACGUCGAUGGCUCCACCUUCUCGCAUUCGCCCGGGACCAAUCCUCAAGCCACGGUCAUGAUGCUCGAUCGGUACGUGGGAGUGGAGAUGUUGGAGGAGCGAAGGGCCAGCGAUAGAGACACAAAGAGCAGAGCGUGA